Molecule: transfer RNA, 71 nt
Filed under: Candidatus Sacchlamyda saccharinae
Lineage: Bacteria; Pseudomonadati; Chlamydiota; Chlamydiia; Parachlamydiales; Candidatus Rhabdochlamydiaceae
Description: tRNA-Gly
Rfam family: tRNA
About the family: Transfer RNA (tRNA) molecules are approximately 80 nucleotides in length. Their secondary structure includes four short double-helical elements and three loops (D, anti-codon, and T loops).
Source: RNAcentral
GCGCCUGUAGUUCAGUGGUAGAACCGUAGCCUUCCAAGCUACUAGCGUCAGUUCGAUUCUGACCAGGCGCU